This 408-nucleotide ribosomal RNA is filed under the name uncultured rumen bacterium. RNAcentral's name for it is "bacterial SSU rRNA". It matches the Rfam family "Bacterial small subunit ribosomal RNA", at positions 354 to 776 of the family's 1533-position model. The record is from RNAcentral.
GUGGGGGAUAUUGCACAAUGGGCGCAAGCCUGAUGCAGCAACGCCGCGUGAAGGAAGAAGGUCUUCGGAUUGUAAACUUCUGUUUUCGGUGAAGAAACAAAUGACGGUAGCCGAAGAGGAAGCCACGGCUAACUACGUGCCAGCAGCCGCGGUAAUACGUAGGUGGCAAGCGUUGUCCGGAAUUACUGGGUGUAAAGGGUGCGUAGGCGGGUUUGCAAGUUGGAUGUGAAAUACCGGAGCUUAACUCCGGAGCUGCAUCCAAAACUGCAGAUCUUGAGUGAAGUAGAGGCAGGCGGAAUUCCGAGUGUAGCGGUGAAAUGCGUAGAUAUUCGGAGGAACACCAGUGGCGAAGGCGGCCUGCUGGGCUUUAACUGACGCUGAGGCACGAAAGCAUGGGUAGCAAACAGG